UGAGCAGAUUGGGCAGUUGCGUGCAUCAGAGGAUGCACGAGGAAAGUCCGAGCUCCACAGAGCAGGAUAGCGGCUAACAGCCGCCGAGGGUGACCUUAGGGAAAGUGCAACAGAGAUAUACCGCCCGAUUUAUCGGGUAAGGGUGGAAAGGCGAGGUAAGAGCUCACCGGCGUGCGGGAGACCGCACGACCCUGCAAACCCUAUCCGGAGCAACACCGAUUGAGGAGUAGGCUUUGAGCCUUGCGCUUGCUCGGCGAAUUCCUCGAAGGGUGGCUUGAGCCUGUUGGCAACGGCAGGCCUAGAAAGAUAAUUGCCUUAAAAGACAGAACUCGGCUUACAGGUCUGCUCACACU
Molecule: RNase P RNA, 353 nt
Filed under: Clostridiales bacterium
Lineage: Bacteria; Bacillati; Bacillota; Clostridia; Eubacteriales
Description: RNase P RNA component class A
Rfam family: Bacterial RNase P class A
About the family: Ribonuclease P (RNase P) is a ubiquitous endoribonuclease, found in archaea, bacteria and eukarya as well as chloroplasts and mitochondria. Its best characterised activity is the generation of mature 5'-ends of tRNAs by cleaving the 5'-leader elements of precursor-tRNAs.
Source: RNAcentral